RNAcentral lists this ribosomal RNA (253 nucleotides) under uncultured bacterium. Its description in RNAcentral is "partial 16S ribosomal RNA". It matches the Rfam family "Bacterial small subunit ribosomal RNA", at positions 524 to 776 of the family's 1533-position model. The record is from RNAcentral.
UACGUAGGGGGCAAGCGUUGUCCGGAUUUAUUGGGCGUAAAGAGCGUGUAGGCGGCUUGGUAGGUCCGCUGUGAAAACUCGAGGCUCAACCUCGAGAUGUCGGCGGAAACCACUUGGCUAGAGUCCGGAAGAGGAGAGUGGAAUUCCUGGUGUAGCGGUGAAAUGCGCAGAUAUCAGGAAGAACACCCGUGGCGAAGGCGGCUCUCUGGAACGCAACUGACGCUGAGACGCGAAAGCGUGGGGAGCAAACAGG